AAGUCGUAACAAGGUCUCCGUAGGUGAACCUGCGGAGGGAUCAUUACUGAGUUACACUCAAACCCUGUUUAAGAAUCUGUUGCUUCGGAGGCGCCCCUCGGGAGGGGAUUUGCUUCGGCCGCCUCCAACAGCACCUUUACUCUUAACUUUGAUUUGUUUAUAUUCAGUCCAAAAAAAAAUCAAAACCUCAACAACGGAUCUCUUGGUUACA
RNAcentral lists this unclassified non-coding RNA (211 nucleotides) under fungal sp. RNAcentral's name for it is "partial internal transcribed spacer region". The stretch from base 1 to 46 matches the Rfam family "Eukaryotic small subunit ribosomal RNA", at positions 1786 to 1831 of the family's 1831-position model. The record is from RNAcentral. Lineage: Eukaryota; Fungi.